RNAcentral lists this long non-coding RNA (393 nucleotides) under Elaeis guineensis (African oil palm). Its description in RNAcentral is "long non-coding RNA (EGUI_LNC082685)". The record is from RNAcentral. Lineage: Eukaryota; Viridiplantae; Streptophyta; Magnoliopsida; Arecales; Arecaceae.
UUCGAACCUUAAUGAACCGUCUUCAUGUAUCUUGAAUUCAGAUUGAACACCAGCUUCCAUUGAAUUUCUUAUUUUUAUUAGUUGUGGAUCAUUAUUCUGGACAACUGAAAUUCUUUCAAUGAGUGUUGGCUGAACCCUCAUGUUGGCUAACCGUACUGUUGAGUCAUAUAUUCGGAUGUCUAAUUCUAAUUUUCUUAUAUCCUUUAACAAUUGACUUUGGUGUGUGAUUAAAAUCGUCAAAUUUCCCACAGAUUUCCUACUAAGGGCAUCAGCAACAACAUUAGCUUUUCUCGGAUGAUAAUGGAUUGUUAAAUCAUAAUCCUUUAAUAGUUCUAACCACCUUCUCUGUCUCAUGUUUAAUUCUUUCUGUGUAAAAAUAUACUUCAAACUCUU